AGUGAACGCUGGCGGUAGGCCUAACACAUGCAAGUCGAACGGCAGCACAGUAAGAGCUUGCUCUUACGGGUGGCGAGUGGCGGACGGGUGAGGAAUACAUCGGAAUCUACUUUUUCGUGGGUGAUAACGUAGGGAAACUUACGCUAAUACCGCAUACGACCUACGGGUGAAAGCAGGGGAUCUUCGGACCUUGCGCGAUUGAAUGAGCCGAUGUCGGAUUAGCUAGUUGGCGGGGUAAAGGCCCACCAAGGCGACGAUCCGUAGCUGGUCUGAGAGGAUGAUCAGCCACACUGGAACUGAGACACGGUCCAGACUCCUACGGGAGGCAGCAGUGGGGAAUAUUGGACAAUGGGCGAAAGCCUGAUCCAGCCAUACCGCGUGGGUGAAGAAGGCCUUCGGGUUGUAAAGCCCUUUUGUUGGGAAAGAAAAGCAGCAGGUUAAUACCCCGCUGUUCUGACGGUACCAACAGAAUAAGCACCGGCUAACUUCGUG
This 492-nucleotide ribosomal RNA is filed under the name uncultured bacterium. RNAcentral's name for it is "partial 16S ribosomal RNA". It matches the Rfam family "Bacterial small subunit ribosomal RNA", at positions 29 to 507 of the family's 1533-position model. The record is from RNAcentral.